This 469-nucleotide ribosomal RNA is filed under the name uncultured bacterium. RNAcentral describes it as "bacterial SSU rRNA". It matches the Rfam family "Bacterial small subunit ribosomal RNA", at positions 9 to 477 of the family's 1533-position model. The record is from RNAcentral.
GAGUUUGAUCUUGGCUCAGAUUGAACGCUGGCGGCAGGCCUAACACAUGCAAGUCGAGCGGUAGAGAGAAGCUUGCUUCUCUUGAGAGCGGCGGACGGGUGAGUAAUGCCUAGGAAUCUGCCUGGUAGUGGGGGAUAACGCUCGGAAACGGACGCUAAUACCGCAUACGUCCUACGGGAGAAAGCAGGGGACCUUCGGGCCUUGCGCUAUCAGAUGAGCCUAGGUCGGAUUAGCUAGUUGGUGAGGUAAUGGCUCACCAAGGCGACGAUCCGUAACUGGUCUGAGAGGAUGAUCAGUCACACUGGAACUGAGACACGGUCCAGACUCCUACGGGAGGCAGCAGUGGGGAAUAUUGGACAAUGGGCGAAAGCCUGAUCCAGCCAUGCCGCGUGUGUGAAGAAGGUCUUCGGAUUGUAAAGCACUUAAGUUGGAGAAGGCAGUAAAUUAAUACUUUGCUGUUUUGACGUUA